This 253-nucleotide ribosomal RNA is filed under the name uncultured bacterium. RNAcentral's name for it is "partial 16S ribosomal RNA". It matches the Rfam family "Bacterial small subunit ribosomal RNA", at positions 524 to 776 of the family's 1533-position model. The record is from RNAcentral.
UACGGGGGGAGCAAGCGUUGUUCGGAUUUACUGGGCGUAAAGCGCACGUAGGCGGCUUAGCAAGUCGGAUGUGAAAUCCCUCGGCUCAACCAAGGAAGUGCAUCCGAAACUGCUGAGCUUGAGUACGAAAGAGGAUCGCGGAAUUCCCGGUGUAGAGGUGAAAUUCGUAGAUAUCGGGAGGAACACCAGUGGCGAAGGCGGCGAUCUGGGUCGAUACUGACGCUGAGGUGCGAAAGCGUGGGGAGCAAACAGG